GGGUCGGUAGCUCAGUUGGUUAGAGCAGGAGACUCAUAAUCUCUUGGUCGUGGGUUCAAGUCCUACCCGGCCUA
Molecule: transfer RNA, 74 nt
Filed under: Planctomycetaceae bacterium
Lineage: Bacteria; Pseudomonadati; Planctomycetota; Planctomycetia; Planctomycetales; Planctomycetaceae
Description: tRNA-Ile
Rfam family: tRNA
About the family: Transfer RNA (tRNA) molecules are approximately 80 nucleotides in length.
Source: RNAcentral